AUGUGGUGGAUUACUAUGAAGUUCUAGGCAUGCAGACAUGCCUUACCGGAGGAUAUUAAAAUGACAUAUCAGAAACUGGCACUGAAGUGGCACCAAGAUAAAAAUCCUGAGAAUAAAGCAGCAGAGAGAAAAUUCAAACAAGUAGCCGAGACGUGAGGUGCUGUCAGAUGCUAGAAAAUAAGAUAGCUUAAUUUAUAUUAAACCAGAAGGAGGAUUAAAUGGUAGAGGACGUGGCGGAAGUCAUUUUGACAAUCAUUUGAGUUUGUCAUCACAUUUCAUAACGUAGAUGAUGUCUUCAGGGAAUUUUUUGGUGGAAGAGACCCAUUUCCAUUUACCUACUUUGAAAAUCUAUUUGAGGACUUCUUUGGGAAUCAAAGGGGUCCCCAAGGGAGCAGAAGCUGAGGGAUGGGUUGUUUUUCUCAGCAUUCAGUAGAUUUCUAUACCUUGGAAGUGGAUUUUCUUCUUUUGAGACAGGAUUUACUUCAUUCUCGUCACUAGGUCACAGGGGACUCAUUCUCUUCCACAUCAUUUGGUGGUAGUGGGAUGGGCAACUUCAAAUGUGUAUCAACUUCUACUGAAAUGGUUAAUGGCAAAAAAAUUACUAAAAAAAGGAUUGUCAAGAAUGGUCAAGAAAGAGCAGAAGUUGAAGAAGAGGGCCAGUUAAAGUCCUUAACGAUACAUGGUGAGGAGCAGCAGCUGUGCUUGGAUAACCAG
RNAcentral lists this long non-coding RNA (714 nucleotides) under Homo sapiens (human). RNAcentral describes it as "non-protein coding lnc-WDR26-6:1". The record is from RNAcentral. Lineage: Eukaryota; Metazoa; Chordata; Mammalia; Primates; Hominidae.